Molecule: long non-coding RNA, 657 nt
Organism: Entelurus aequoreus (snake pipefish)
Lineage: Eukaryota; Metazoa; Chordata; Actinopteri; Syngnathiformes; Syngnathidae
Exons: 4
Source: RefSeq, a predicted model, not a curated record
ACUCACCUUAGUUUGUUUAAAUGUGUAACUUUCUCCGACUUUCUAGGACGUGUUUUAUGCCACUUCUUUUUCUGUCCUUGUCCACCAAACUUUUAAUGUUGUGCGUGAAUGCACAAAGACACGUUUAUCCAAGAGGAGACUGAGGGCGGCGGGAGAAACUGAGCCGAGAGUCAAUGCUGCAGCAACGAGGGAACUUGGGGUGCGUCUUGUUGAUGGCGUGCGACGCAGCGUUGACGGCGUGUGCCAGCUCCUGCUCUAAGAGCCCGUUGGUCUUAGCGGCCUCGCAUAUCCUGCAGUGCCAACACAGACGUGAAGUGACCUGGUGAUGAGCUCCUCUGCGGCGCGGGCGCACAGCUGCACCACGGCGGCCUCCUCCUCCGAGGCCAGGUCCACAGACUGCUGCGAGUAGAGGUGAGGCCGCAGGGGAGGCUUGUCGUACUUCAGCUUGUCCUCCCACGACUUGAGCGUGUUCUCGAAGGCCUGCAGGGGGGCGGCAGAGGAGGCAAUGCCACCGUGUUCCAGAAGCACGGCAGCAGAAGACGGCGUUUGCUCACCCGGUCUCUGGUGAGCAUCUGGGCUCUGUUCUUGUGCUGGAGCUUGAUGACUCCAGGCGGCUGGAUCCACGCCUCGCCGUCCACCUGGAUGGGAACGCCCUCG